Long non-coding RNA from Entelurus aequoreus (snake pipefish), 604 nucleotides. RefSeq lists it as uncharacterized. The record is from RefSeq and is a predicted model, not a curated record. The transcript has 3 exons. NCBI's taxonomy places the organism in Eukaryota, Metazoa, Chordata, Actinopteri, Syngnathiformes, Syngnathidae.
UCAAACUCCAGCGUGACCUCCAGCUGGCCCACGGUGAAGUCGUGGCCGAAGUUGUUGGCGAUGGACGAGAUGGAGCUGAGCGAGUCGGUGGAGAUGGAGCGGUUGAGCUGGACCACGCUGCUCAGGUCCGGCUCUCGGCCCAUCAGCUCCAGGUGGCCCAGGUCCCUGAGGCCGUCCGGGGUGUCGCACGCUGCCAGGCUGGGCUUGCGGCUGGACGUGGUGGAGGUGCGGCGGUGGUUGUUGGCUGCCACUCGCUUCAUAGGAGACGUUUGAAAGAUAUCUGUAGUCAAAGUUGGGGAAGGGCGACGGCGCUGGGAAGGUUCCAGACUUCCACAGCUUCCAGAUGUUCAGGCCGGCCGCGGCCAGCAGCACCACAAAGCCAAACAGUUGUUGUCCACUCACCACUCAGAUGGUAGCCUGAAAUAUCCCCACUCGGAGGCGAGGACAUGGUGCAGCAGCCAGCCUGCGAAUGAAUAAGAUGGAAAACCUGGAGAUAGAUUUCGUUACUGCUAACACAUGUUGCUGGUGAUGGUGCAGAAAGAAACCCAGUCAUCUGUUGAAAAAUGGAACUCGGGUCACGUCACAUUCAGAUUUGAUCACUUUU